Molecule: long non-coding RNA, 528 nt
Filed under: Chinchilla lanigera (long-tailed chinchilla)
Lineage: Eukaryota; Metazoa; Chordata; Mammalia; Rodentia; Chinchillidae
Description: lncRNA (ENSCLAG00000024234.1)
Source: RNAcentral
CUAAAACUCAAGGAGCAAAGAAUGAUGCCUCUCUCACAGAUUACAAAGAACAAAUGAGACAACAAAUGCAGUUCAAAUUACUUACAAGCCUACCAUUGCAGAGAGCCAAUGCUUACCAUACAGAAUCACCUCACAACAUUAAAACUUGUAAACAAUGGACUGGAGGCUUGCGAACAGUGAAAAAUCAACUACAAUCUUUCAUCAGGAAAUUUUCAACUUAGAGUAAUAACCAACCAAGCAAACUUUCUGAAAUUAAGUAAAUUAUUGAAAUAUUUUGUGAUGUAUUAAUAAGCAAAGGUGAAAACUCAAACACCUUGGGUUCUGUGUAGGAGCUUCUUACAUACGAAAUCAACAGGUUUUGAAUAUCUGAAGAGCAGCUGAGUCUGUGUGCUAUCACAGCCUUUUUGAGGACCUACUUACUAUAUGUGUAUUUCAUUGAAACUGAAAAUAGAGGUGAUUUUUACUGCUUGUGUCAUAGUAUCUCAAGUGACUAAUAUAAGAUUGCCUUGUAUUAGUAACAUAUAAAUA